GUGUGGACGCCAGUCUGCAUGGAGCCGACCUUGAAAUACCACCCUUUAAUGUUUGAUGUUCUAACGUUGGCCCGUAAUCCGGGUUGCGGACAGUGUCUGGUGGGUAGUUUGACUGGGGCGGUCUCCUCCUAAAGAGUAACGGAGGAGCACGAAGGUUGGCUAAUCCUGGUCGGACAUCAGGAGGUUAGUGCAAUGGCAUAAGCCAGCUUGACUGCGAGCGUGACGGCGCGAGCAGGUGCGAAAGCAGGUCAUAGUGAUCCGGUGGUUCUGAAUGGAAGGGCCAUCGCUCAACGGAUAAAAGGUACUCCGGGGAUAACAGGCUGAUACCGCCCAAGAGUUCAUAUCGACGGCGGUGUUUGGCACCUCGAUGUCGGCUCAUCACAUCCUGGGGCUGAAGUAGGUCCCAAGGGUAUGGCUGUUCGCCAUUUAAAGUGGUACGCGAGCUGGGUUUAGAACGUCGUGAGACAGUUCGGUCCCUAUCUGCCGUGGGCGCUGGAGAACUGAGGGGGGCUGCUCCUAGUACGAGAGGACCGGAGUGGACGCAUCACUGGUGUUCGGGUUGUCAUGCCAAUGGCACUGCCCGGUAGCUAAAUGCGGAAGAGAUAAGUGCUGAAAGCAUCUAAGCACGAAACUUGCCCCGAGAUGAGUUCUCCCUGAGACUUAGAGUCUCCUGAAGGAACGUUGAAGACGACGACGUUGAUAGGCCGGGUGUGUAAGCGCAGCGAUGCGUUGAGCUAACCGGUACUAAUGAACCGUGAGGCUUAACCUUACAACGCCGAAG
This 781-nucleotide ribosomal RNA is filed under the name Escherichia coli. Its description in RNAcentral is "partial 23S ribosomal RNA". It matches the Rfam family "Bacterial large subunit ribosomal RNA", at positions 2162 to 2925 of the family's 2925-position model. The record is from RNAcentral. Lineage: Bacteria; Pseudomonadati; Pseudomonadota; Gammaproteobacteria; Enterobacterales; Enterobacteriaceae.